GGGGGUAUGGCUCAGUGGUAGAGCAUAUGCUUAGCAUGCCCAAGGUCCUGGGUUCAAUCCCUAGUACCUCCA
Camelus ferus (Wild Bactrian camel) is the source of this 72-nucleotide transfer RNA. It matches the Rfam family "tRNA". Rfam says of the family: Transfer RNA (tRNA) molecules are approximately 80 nucleotides in length. The record is from Rfam. NCBI's taxonomy places the organism in Eukaryota, Metazoa, Chordata, Mammalia, Artiodactyla, Camelidae.